AACGUAGGAGACAAACGUUAUCCGGAGUUACUGGGCGUAAAGGGCGUGUAGGUGGUAUCGUAAGUCUGGCGUGAAAUUUCUCGGCUUAACCGAGGCAGGUCGUCGGAUACUGCGAGGCUAGAGGGGCAAAGAGGAGCUUGGAACGAAUGGUGUAGUAGUGAAAUGCGUUGAUAUCAUUCGGAACACCGAAAGCGAAGGCAGAGCUCUGGGUGCCACCUGACACUGCUAGGACGAAAGCGUGGGGAGCGAAUGGG
This 254-nucleotide ribosomal RNA is filed under the name uncultured bacterium. RNAcentral describes it as "partial 16S ribosomal RNA". It matches the Rfam family "Bacterial small subunit ribosomal RNA", at positions 524 to 776 of the family's 1533-position model. The record is from RNAcentral.